UUGGUGAUAUUUUAAUGAAAUAGGUAUUUUCCAUUUUAAUUAAGUGUUGAUAGACUAAUUAUUUAGUUGUUAUUCUCUUUAAAGACCUACAGUUUGCUGCUCUACAGUUAGGAGAGUCUGGGACUUCCAAGCUAAACAAUGCUACAUUGACUUAUGGGCAUUCAGUAUUACUAGAGAAAAGAGAUGCAAAGUUUGAGAUAUGCACUGUGAAAUCUGAGUUCAAGGAAUCUGACAGGCGGCACCAAGGCACUGACCCUAUUCUGUGUGGACCGACGUUUCCAGAUGCUGAGGAAGGAAGUCCUAACCUUGAUCCCAACAUAACUCUGGAACAACGUAUUUAUUAACAUCAAAUUUUAGAUAAAAAUACAAAGUCAGAA
RNAcentral lists this long non-coding RNA (377 nucleotides) under Fukomys damarensis (Damara mole-rat). RNAcentral describes it as "lncRNA (ENSFDAG00000025660.1)". Lineage: Eukaryota; Metazoa; Chordata; Mammalia; Rodentia; Bathyergidae. The record is from RNAcentral.